GUUUUGUUCAAAGGGGAGUAGCUCUUGCAGUAAAGUCGUCAUUUCGAGAUUAUUAUCUCCGGCUUUAUUGACAAUGCAAAUUGUUAGCGAGACCUUUGCCAAUGUU
This 106-nucleotide small RNA is filed under the name Priestia megaterium. RNAcentral's name for it is "yybP-ykoY". The record is from RNAcentral. Lineage: Bacteria; Bacillati; Bacillota; Bacilli; Caryophanales; Bacillaceae.